UGUAAUUUGCAGAGGGCGCUWUGGUGUUGGCAGCGGUCCAAGUYCUUUGGAACAGGACGUCACAGAGGGUGAGAAUCCCGUACGUGGUCGCUAGCCCUCACCGYGUAAAGCCCCUUCGACGAGUCGAGUUGUUUGGGAAUGCAGCUCUAAAUGGGAGGUAAAUUUCUUCUAAAGCUAAAUAUUGGCCAGAGACCGAUAGCGCACAAGUAGAGUGAUCGAAAGAUGAAAAAGCACUUUGGAAAGAGAGUCAAAUAGCACGUGAAAUUGUUGAAAGGGAAGCGCUUGCAGCCAGACUUGCCUGUAGUUGCUUAUCUAGACUUCUGUCUAGUGCACUCUUCUAUAGGCAGGCCAGCAUCAGUUUGGGCGGUUGGAUAAAGGUCUCUGUCACGUACCUCCUCUCGGGGAGGCCUUAUAGGGGAGACGACAUGCAACCAGCCUGGACUGAGGUCCGCGCAUCUGCUAGGAUGCUGGCGUAAUGGCUGUAAGCGGCCCGUCUUGAAACACGGACCWAGGAGUCUAACAUCUAUGCGAGUGUUUGGGUGUCRAGCCCAUACGCGUAAUGAAAGUGAACGGAGGUGGGAACCUUAGGGUGCACCAUCGACCGAUCCUGAUGUCUUCGGAUGGAUUUGAGUAAGAGCAUGGCUGUUGGGACCCGAAAGAUGGUGAACUAUGCUUGAAUAGGGUGAAGCCAGAGGAAACUCUGGUGGAGGCUCGCAGCGGUUCUGACGUGCAAAUCGAUCGUCAAAUUUGGGCAUAGGGGCGAAAGACUAAUCGAACUAUCUAGUAGCUGGUUCCUGCCGAAGUUUCCCUCAGGAUAGCAGUAACGUAUUCAGUUUUAUGAGGUAAAGCGAAUGAUUA
This 858-nucleotide ribosomal RNA is filed under the name Setophoma sacchari. RNAcentral's name for it is "LSU rRNA". It matches the Rfam family "Eukaryotic large subunit ribosomal RNA", at positions 144 to 1023 of the family's 3401-position model. Lineage: Eukaryota; Fungi; Ascomycota; Dothideomycetes; Pleosporales; Phaeosphaeriaceae. The record is from RNAcentral.